CUCGAGCUCCCAGUGCUCGCUCUCGUCUUACCUUGCACCACCUUCGACAUAAACUUACUCCACUAGUAUAUAAGCUUGCCUGAUCUUCCCAAGCGAAUAUACCUCUGUCCUAUACCAUACGCCAACAGACAAGUGUCAAGAGGUAUAUCAUACAUAUAUCUCAUUGCUUAGUUAAACUACGGCUUUCUAUCUCGUCUCCAAGGCCGGACCUUGUUGGGGACGAGUCGUAACAGGGUGAUAGGUCAGCUGGGUAUCUUUUAGAGAGCCCGAAAUGUAUCAAAGCCGGCGGUGCUAUCGGUAUCAUUACGGCCAUCCUUGGAGCCUAUACAAGCCUGGCGGAACUCGUGACGGCCGAUACCGGUUUUUUCCGAGUUCCUGUUGGGAAUUUGGCGCCUAAAGAUCAUUAACUUGAGAUCCACCAUUAGUUAUGAAUUGGCCUUAAUCGGAAGUGGUGAUCGGUAUUGUAUUUAAGAACAAGGUCAAAAGGCUAUUUAUUAUCACCGGGAUUGUUGUUAUUUCCCAAGGAAUAUGUAAAGCAGAAUAAAGGAAG
This 550-nucleotide small RNA is filed under the name Cryptococcus neoformans H99. RNAcentral describes it as "Cryptococcus neoformans var. grubii H99 hypothetical RNA". Lineage: Eukaryota; Fungi; Basidiomycota; Tremellomycetes; Tremellales; Cryptococcaceae. The record is from RNAcentral.